CCUACGGGAGGCAGCAGUGAGGAAUAUUGGUCAAUGGACGCAAGUCUGAACCAGCCAUGCCGCGUGCAGGAAGACGGCUCUAUGAGUUGUAAACUGCUUUUGUACGAGGGUAAAUCCCGAUACGGGUAUCGGGGUGAAAGUAUCGUACGAAUAAGGAUCGGCUAACUACGUGCCAGCAGCCGCGGUAAUACGGAGGAUUCAAGCGUUAUCCGGAUUUAUUGGGUUUAAAGGGUGCGUAGGCGGUUCGAUAAGUUAGAGGUGACAUCCCGGGGCUCAACUCCGGCACUGCCUCUGAUACUGUCGGGCUAGAGUUUAGUUGCGGUAGGCGGAAUGUCUGGUGUUGCCG
This 346-nucleotide ribosomal RNA is filed under the name uncultured bacterium. RNAcentral's name for it is "partial 16S ribosomal RNA". It matches the Rfam family "Bacterial small subunit ribosomal RNA", at positions 338 to 681 of the family's 1533-position model. The record is from RNAcentral.